This 1052-nucleotide long non-coding RNA is filed under the name Homo sapiens (human). RNAcentral's name for it is "non-protein coding lnc-MEX3C-8:1". Lineage: Eukaryota; Metazoa; Chordata; Mammalia; Primates; Hominidae. The record is from RNAcentral.
CAUAAGUCUAGAGAUAGGUAUAUCCAGGGUUGCUUAACUCAGAAAAUCAGUGGCAUUGGGUUUUCAGAUACUUUUCUAGUUUUUUUGGGUUUGUGGCUCUCCUCUCUGAUCACUAUAUUAAGUUGAAAAACUUUCUCCCAAAAGUUAUCCAUGUCCUAAUCUCUAGAACCUGUGACUAUUACUUUAUAUAAGAAAAAAGGUUGUUUGCAGAUAUGAUUGGAUUAAGGAGCUUGAGGUGGGGUAAUUAUCCUGGAUUGUUAGGGUAGACCCUAGAUGGAAUCUCACAUAUCCCUAUAUGAAGAGGGCAAAAGGAUAUUUGAUAACACGCAGAGGAGGAGAUGAAAAGACAGAGCAGGAGAGAUUUGAAGAUGCUGGCCUUAAAAAUGGGCAUAAUAGGGUCAUAAGCCUGGAAAUGCUGACAGCCACCAGAAGCUGGAAGAGACAAAGAUUCUCCCCCAGAGCAUCCAGAGGAAACAAGACCUUGCUGACACCUUGAUUUUGGCCCGAUUAUACUAAUUUUGGACUUCUGAUCUCUGAAAUUGAGAGAGAGUAAUGUUUCGUUGUUUUAGGGCUGCAAGAUUGUGGUAAUUUGUUAACGGCAGUCACAAAACGGCUGCCACAAAUUCAGGUAACACUUCCUCCUACAGCUGAUUCUGGAAGAAGAGAGGCUCUCCGCCACUGCCAUUGAAUGGGGCUCUGCAAGAUGUCACUGCACUGCCCUCAGCUCCUUCAUCCCAGUCCCUGGAAAUUCCUUUCCGCUUCAUGCAAUGGAUGAGCUCCUUGUAUUAGACUUCAUAGUCAAGAAAUAAAGUUCUCCUCGUUAUGGGGAAGCUGUGAUUUGAGAUGAGGAUGAUUUGUCACUGGAAAGGAGGUGAGUGGGAAAUAAGAUCAAUACCUUCCUUGGAUUCACUUUUACUUCUAUCUGUUUUCUACAGACCUGGAUUUUCACUGAAAUUAUUUUAGUAGCUGCAGCAGCCCAAUCUACACCAGCCUGACUUGGAUUAUUUCCAAAGUUUCUUGUGCCCAGCAGAGUUAAAGAUUGCAUCUCUCUC